RNA transcript from Zootermopsis nevadensis, 4485 nucleotides. RefSeq lists it as uncharacterized. NCBI's taxonomy places the organism in Eukaryota, Metazoa, Arthropoda, Insecta, Blattodea, Termopsidae. The record is from RefSeq and is a predicted model, not a curated record.
GUAAAUCAGUAAUUACCUCAUUCUAGUCAAUAAAACAACCUUGGUUCCGAAGAUUUCCGAAUGGUACAUGACGGUAAUAAUCUACAAGAUUCAAUCUUCUUAUUUAGUAACCUUGGCGCUGCCCAGACAAAAUGGCUGACUGUCGGCAAUGUUGUUCGUUGGUUAUAUGAAAACUGUGCAGCUUCCAUUGUGUCAAGUGGUGAAUGGCAUCAUCAGGAGAGGUGGGAAGCUGUGACUGGGCUGCUCCACCAGCAAGAAGCUCAAGUCUUGUGUAGUUCAACAAUCAAAGGUUUUCUAGAUGGUCGUGGUGAGUGGUGGUUGGGUCAAAUCUGUGGUCUAUCCCAAUUGUGGAGAUGUGAUAGCUACUACUAAGAUGGCUGCCAAGGCUGUUCUCAUCUGUCGGCCCAAUUCUCAUCCAUUUCAGGAACGGUCACUGACUUUGGACCAGCCAGUAAAAAUUGGACGUUCAGUGGCUCGGGCUCGAGCUGCUCCUAAUAAUGCCAUCUUUGACUGCAAAGUGCUAUCCCGUAACCAUGCUUUGUUGUGGUACGAGAAUGGAAAGUUUUACUUACAGGAUACAAAAAGUAGCAAUGGCACAUUUGUCAACAAUCAGCGGCUCAGUAAAGGGGCAGAAGAGUCACCACCUCGGGAAGUCUGUUCUGGAGAUAUUGUUCAGUUUGGAGUUGAUGUUAUGGAGAAUUCGAGGAAAGUUCUUGUUUCAGUGACACAUGGCUGCAUUGUUGCCACACUGAAGUUAUAUUUACCAGAUGGCAAAGAAGCAAAGGCAAGUCCUUCCACAUCUGUUGUCAGCUCAGUUGGGAUGGUGCCAUUAGAAGACCUGUAUCAGCUGAACCAGUAUCUGCAGGAAGCCUUACAGAGAGAGCAGCUUCUGGAAAACAAACUGGCUACAUUGCAGCGAUUAGUUGAAACUACUCGUCAGGCAUCAGAUCUUGGUUGGAAAGCUCUUAUAGAUGAAGAUCGUCUUUUAUCACGUGUUGAAAUUCUGGAAAAUCAGUUACAGAUGUAUUCAAAAAACUUUGCAGAGGACAAGCUGCGAGAGGAGUUACGGAAAUUACAGGAAGAUAAGAGUCAGUACCAGGGUACUGCCAAGGAAUCUCUUCGCAAGAUGCUGCAAGAAAAGCUGGAAGCAGUACAGAAGAUGCAGGAUAUUGAACGGACUCUGAGCAACACAGAGGAUGAGUGUGCACACCUCAAGGAGCUGUGUGAGCGCAGCCAGCAGGACUUACAAGAUCUUGCAUUAAAAUAUAGUCUGCAGUUGCAGAAAGUAGAGGAACUCUCAUCUAAACUACAGGAAACAGAAGAUCAGCAUCGUGAAGUUUGUGAACGCUUAGAACAAGAAAAGCAAGAAUUGCAGGCUAGAUUACAAGAACAGCUGGAGGCAGAACGAGCAUUGCAACUGCGUUUGGAAGCAUUGCAGGUCGAUGGAGAUGUCACACAAAAACAACUGGCAGCCCUGCAGUCACAUAUCCAUUCUCUGCAACCCAGUAAUAAUAUUGACUCCAAAGUAGAUCUUGACAGCUUUAAAUCUACAGAUUCAACAGCCACCCAGGUGGAUAUUAUCUUGGAGCGAAUUGAACCAGACAACAUGAAAGAGGCUUUACAAAAUACCCAAGAUGAGAUUGAGAAUCUUCGAUCUUUACUGAAGAAGUCUGAGGAGGAAAUAAAGGAGAGUCAUGCAAGAGUGGAUGAACUCCACACACAACUUGAAGAAUCCCGGAAGCAAGAAGACUCAAACUCUGAGCAAAUUCGUGUGCUCCAAGAGCGAUUAGAAGGACUAGAAUUAGAUUUGGAAUUGGAUCGAGUAGAGAAUUGUCAUGAAAAUGGAGAAUGUGAUAGGAAACAUGUGUCCCUUGAGGCAGAUUCCAAUCAUGCGAAGAAGCUGAAAGCUGACAUUGCUAAACUGGAAGAAACUCGUCAUGAGUUGGAAUUGUCUGUAGAGCAUUACGUCUGCAUGGUGAUUAUUUUAAAAGAAUUGCUUGCGGAGUCUCGUGGCAAGAAGCGUGAUGUUGAGGUCAAGCAGCAGCAUUACCAACAUGAAUUAGAUUGUGCCAAACUCAAAGUGAAGAAGACAACAGAGGAAGCUAACAUGUUGAAGCAGCAGUUGCAGGCUGCCCAGAAACAGAUGCAGGAGAAGUCUGAAUCAGUGACAAAAUUACACGAACAAAUGCACUGGCUUGAAACAUCAGCAGAUGAGGUGAAGUUUCAAGUAUUACAGCUGCAAGAACGACUCCGAGACGAACAACAACGCUGUAUUCAACAUUCUGAGGAAGCUGAAGUAUUACGGAAUCAACUGAUGGAAGCUCAACAGAGUGCGAAACAAAGCCGUAAUGAAGCUGAGCAGAUGAAAGAUAGACUGAAAGCCAUUCAAGAGGAACUGAAACGUCAUUCUGGUAGUGAAGAUAAUAGAAGUCGCGAAGAAUUGAUCCAGAUUAGAAAACGAUGUGAAACACUGGUGGAAGAUAAUGCCAGGCUAAAGGAGGAAUACCAUGCACUUGAGGAGCGGAACUUCAUUCUAAAUCGCAAUUUGGAAGCUCGUAUAUUACAGGGUGACUCUGAAAGUACAUCUUUAGAAUUGAGUGAGUGCAGGAUACAACGUGACCAAAUUUUUCAGAAUCUUCAUCAUUUACAAGAAGAAAUGGUGAUUGUCAAAGAGUGUUAUUCCCAGUGUAAUGAAGCAAAAACACAGCUGACACAAGAUUUGGUCUCAUUGCAACAGGAAUAUUCCAAUCUCAUGAGCAGUUCUAGUAUAGUACGUGUUAACUAUGUUAUACCCUUGUUUCUCGUUGCCCUGGCUGUGUGGUUGGCUUUGGUCCACUACACUUAACUUGUGGAAUAUCCUGUGCUUUUCUGUUGUUUCUUUUGAUUGUUUUCAACAGUACUGCAUUAUAAAUCUAUCUUGAGAUUUACUAGAUGAAAUCCCAAAGAAGGUUUUAUGGUGCUGUUUGGUGCCCUUAAUCAUCGUGUUCUUGGGAAUAAUAGUGAUGUUUUAUCCAUCAUUAGCCUUCAUUACCGGUACUUCUGAGUCAGAACAGCCUCAGUGAUUGAAAGUAAUCCUGGUGAGAAGCUCGGUUUGUGUCAGUGUAAUUUUGUUUCUCUCUCGAGUGAUUUAAAAUAAAAAGAAGUUCUACUGAAGAUGAAAACUACAGGAAUAAACAAUCGGUCCAUGCAUGGGGAUACUAUGCCACUGAACUUGAAUAUAUUAUUUGUUGCUACAGUUUUCACAUAUUUAUUGAGAUUUUUCAUUGUUAUUGUUUAUAUAAUGUAGAAAUAACUUUUAAUUUUUAUAUUUGUAUAAUAGUGAAGUGUCAAGUUCUCAUGAUGUAGUCAUCCCACUGUGGUGGACCUUGAUUAUGAAUAUGGUGCAAGUAAUGUGACUAAGAUAUAAAUUACUGUGUGUGUUUAUCAUUCUGGAUGUGAGAUAAUAUUUUUUUAAUUGUUACAUACCAGGAGAUGUCUGUUCAGGUUACCAUUCUUUUUGUUACAGCAAGUAGCUCUGCUAAUGUCGAUUGUGGACAAUCAACAUUUUCACCACUGAAAGAACCUUAAAUAUCAUGUAGCUGUACUAAUAUUCAUUAGAGAAAGAAGCCAAAAGUAAAGGAGGGACAAAUUGAAACACUUUCCAGAAUGAAGAUAUUUUCUGAACAAGCCUAUAGUUAUGUUCUAAAACAUUACAAACGGUCAUAUAAAGACUUCAUUCUGGCAAGACUUUGAAACGUGUUUUUGUUGGUUUUUAAUUCUUAAACCUUUCAGUUCCUGUAUCACAGCUGAUAUGGCAUUUAAUUUAUGCCUGCUCAGAUGUCAAAACAUAUCUGACUUUCUAGUUUUCACUUUGCUCUAAAACUGUGCUAUUUGUUUAGGAACAUUUGAACUCUUAAGACUACCAUACUCUCACCCAGCACAUCCUUUGCAUUGUAACAAAACCUACCCUGCAUUUGUCAGUCAUUUUAUACUAUUCUGAGUAAAUGGUAGUGUUAAACAAAACUAUUUUCCCUCCAUAUUGAUACAGACUAAACAAAGUUUGGAAGUAAGUUGGUGUGGAAAGGGUCAAUUUUAUUAAUUUUCUGUAAUUUUGACCACCUGAGACCUGAUUUGAUUUCUCUACAGCUAGUGAAAAUGGGUCUUGUUACUGUAUUGCUUUCCAAUAUAAUUGGCAGUGGAGCUUCAGUUUGACUGAAACUGGGGUGUUUCAAUAAAAAAAAAUAUUUAUUUUGUUUAUUUAUUGCUUGUUAACUUAGAGUUUUAUAGCUUUUAAUAUUUUCAUAAUGUGUAAUUUCAAAUGCCAGAUGCACUUGUGAUGUUUUGUUAGAAGGCCUUCUCACAACUCAUAGCAUUAGGUGCUUAAUGUAGGAAUUAGAGAGAUUAUUCUAUAAUUAAUAAUGCCAAAUUGAUUAGUGAUGCUAGAUCUAAUAAUUUUUGCAGAUGUUAUAGGAAUAAUAGAGCAUUCUUUUGUUGUGUGAUGUUUUA